GUUUUUGUCUUUGUUUUUUGAAUUUGGCAUUAUUGACAACUCUGCUUUAUCUCCUGAACUGGCUUACUAACUAAUCUUACUAACUAACUAACCUAACUGCUUACUAACUCUAACCUUUGGGAUAUUUGAGUGGUUGCUUUACCAUUUACAGGACACACAGUCUAACUUCAAGAGAUCUCAUAUAACUGUACCUGGAGUAGAAGAACCUUACAAUAGUAUAUUUCCAUCUCUCCCCUCCUGGCCUCAUCCCCCUGCCCUGUGCCAAGACCUAGAAACUCUCACAAAGCAGUAAACAGAAUCAUCGAGCUCUCUGGGGUUACUGAACUUGUGGCCUGAUGUCCAGUGUCUUGAAAACCAUUGUUUCAUUUGCUCUAUUGGUUUGUUUUUUGUUUCAGGGGGAAGGGAAAAUCCAAUCCCUGUUACUCCACCUUGGAUGGAAAUCCCCAGUAUGUCUAUGAAGACUCAGAAGCUCAGGACUCAGGACACCAAGACUCAGGAGCUCAGGCCCUUGCCCAAAGCAAGGUGACCACCAAGUGACCCGGCAGGACUCCAACCAGCUCUCCUGACACCAGGCCUGCCAUUCUCCUCCCUGCCCCACUGCUCCUGAGACCCACCCUGAGAAAGAAGAUAGAGCUGGCAGCAGAACAUAGCGGGCUUUGCCACCACUGCAAAAAGCGGCUUGCAAGCACUGUCACCAGCUUUGGAAGCCAGUGUGAUGAUUAUUUUGUAUAAAGUGACCCAUUAAAUAGCACCUUUCAGCAUCUUCCAAGCCGCACCUUAAAUGCCCCCUCCGCAUCUUCAAAAGCCUCUGUGGCAUGUUUCUGAGGCCGAGAGGAGCUCAGUUCUUUCCCAAGCCCCACCCCCUCAGCCGACCCCAGAAAUGCUGUGUCUGAAAGCAUCAGCACUGACUUCGUUCCCACUGGCUGCCCGUCACAGGUCCAUUGCUUUCACGGCUCUGCCAUCCUACAGCAGUGGGACCCAGAAGACACAGACAACGCUCAGGCUCCUCAUCUGUAAACUGAGCCUGAGCGUAUCAACCUCCCAGAGUUGAUGGUUAAAUAAAAAUACAAUGUAUUUGGCACAGACUAGGAACUGGGCUUUCUUUCCACUCGUCUCAUAGCCCGUCCACUUUUUCUAAGUGUUCUUAUAUUACCCUUAGAAGUCUGGCGAGACUGGUGGUCUGUUGCUCACAACAAAAAACCCAUGAAAGGAAAACCAGUAAACAGCACUCGCCCUGCACUGUCUAGAUCAGAGGUUCUCACACUUCGCUGCACACUAGAAUCCCCUGGGGAGCUUUUAAAAAUCCCAACAGCAGGCUGCACCCCAGAUCAAUUAAACAAGAAUCUCUGCAGAUGGGGACCAGACAUCAGGAUUUUGUAAAGCUCACAGGGUCUUCCAAUGCUCAGCCAAGGUCAAGAGUGAGUGAUCUUGACCAAGAGACAAGAAUGCUCUUGUUGUCCUGUUCUCCCCUCCUUUGUCUGCAAUCCCUGGCGCAUCUCAGGGGCUGGACAGGGACCAGUGGAAAGCGAGUGAGCCAUCCUUUAAGGAGGCUCUCAUUCUUAGGCUCCUAAAAGAGCUGGGGGUGGCCAGUUCUCAGCCCUGAAAAGGAGCCCCCCCCCUUACAGGUUGUUCCCUAGGCUCCGCUCUCUUAGAGAGGCGCUCCCUCUUGGGGGCACCACCCUCCACUUGCAGGAUGCAGAGAAUGAUGCCUCCUUACUCACUCCCUACAGCCCAGCCCCACCCUGGACACCCCAGCAUGCACUUCCCCACCCCGACCGUUGAAAGCUCCAAAGGGAAAAGCAGUCCCCAGCCCCCACCCUGCCCCCUAACUCAGGAAAGCAUCUCUCUUUGAACAAAUCCUCCUCCUUCGCCGCACAGGGCCAUGGUUCCAGACCCCUGGCCAGCGCCCAGCCACUGUCAGACCACCUGGCUGAGAAGGUGAAGGGGAGACAAGGUGGCCCUUACCUGCCAGCCAGCCACUAGCCCUCUCCCUAGGGUUGGCCCCCUGCCCAGGUGACAGUUCAAAGAUUCAGGGGAAAAAAACAAGACUUGGCAAAAGCACAGGUGACCUUUCCUCCAGGUGCAGGGGCAGGGGCAGGAAAGCUGGAGAAGUUAUUUCUCAUGCCCUUUGCCUGAUGGGGGCCUCAGCUCUGCCCAGAACAGGGAGUGGUGUUCAGAACAAGGUUCCAUCAGGGGGCUGGAUGUUGAAGUAGGGUUCCCAGUCUUGCCCCUAGAAAACACGAUUUAUCUGACUCAACUGCCCUCUAAGCUCCAGGCUCCUCUCCCUUGUGGGUCUCAAAUUUGACCUCAACUGUUACCUGGGGAACUGUGCUCCAGCUUCUGCUGCACUUCAGUUCUACAAAAGACAAAAAAAAAAAAAGAACCACUUCUGGAGUUCCCUUCUUGGCUCGGCAAUUAAUGAACCCGAUUGGGAUACAUGAGGAUACAGGUCUGAUCCCUGGCCUUGCUUAAUGGGUUAAGGAUCUGGCGUUGCCAUGAGCUGUGGUGUGGGUUGCAGACAUGGCUCUGAUCUGGCAGUGCUGUGGCUGUGGCAUAGGCCGGCGGCCACAGCUCCGAUUUUACUCCUAGCCUGGGAACCUCCCUAUGCCGCGGGAGCGACAAAUAGCACAAAAAUUAAAAAAACCACUUUCAUGGGUCUUGGUACCAUCAUCCCAGCAUCAGAUCUCCCACUCACCCCCCACCCUCACUGGCACCCCUCCCCCAGCACAUGCUGUAAAUCCGUUCUUGGGAAAGGAUCUGAUACAACCAUUCACCCUGAGGAGUAGGAAACAAGAAGACCUGGAGGGGGACACCCUCUAGCAGGAGAUCAAGACCCACUGCCCUCCUCUGAGAGGCCCGCACUAACUCCUCCCACUGAAAUCAGCUUAAAUGUCUACAGGGGUCAGAUGGGGAGGGGGAGGUACUGAGCGAGGAGGACCAGGCACGAGACCAUAGGGAGGGGCAGGGCCAUAGCAAACUGGCUCGAGUGUGCCCUCUGCGAGGGUGCAGAGAGGAGCGGCCACUCUUUAGCCCACUGGUUGUAGGAACGCAGACCACAGCUGCCAGAUCUUCUGACUUGUCAAGAGAAGCCAGAAAUCAGAUUUUUCUGGGCCAUUUCCAAUUAUAAACUAUGGGGGGUGGGCACCAAAGCAAGCAGGUCUGGGGGCCACAUCUGGAGGCAAGUGGGCCACCCGUCGGCAGCCUGGUCUAGAGGGUGAGCUCUUUGGGCUGGGAGACCUUGUGUUUAUCCUUAUGCCCUUAGUGCCAGCUGGCUGCCCAGCAUGCCCAGGGGGUUCCCAGUAAACGCUGAUACAUGGGUAAAUAAGCGAAGGCGUGGUGGGGCCAGCAGACGAAAGGGGACUUCCUGCCCCACCACACCUAAGGUCUGCCUUGUCAGCCAACAGGGGUGGGGCCUGCCUGGGAGUCCCAUCCCCCCUCACCCACAAAGGAGGACUGCUGAUUCCUAACUCGCUCAUGCCUAGAAAUGGCCACUUUCAGCAUCCCUGGAUGUUCCGAGAGCAUCUCCUGUGGUGCAGACCUCUCUCGGGUCUCCAGUUUUAUACAAUCCCGCCCUAAAACCCACAGCCUCUCCUGCCUCCUGCAAGGACCCGGCCCCAGUCCUCUAGGCUCUCUGUCAUAGAGUGCCCCCCAACCAGGUUCUCCUCACUACAGGCUGCUGCUCAGAAACCUUUGCCCAGGGCAUCCAGCCUCCAAGCCCAGGUCCAGCUCCUCUGAGAGCAAUGGCAAAAGCAGCAAAAGCCUCAAAGCUGCCCCUGGGAGAAGGAGGAGAGAAGAAAGGCCCAAUCUGGGAGCCUCUGGAGGUAUCCCCGUGUCCUGGACACCCCCUGCCAAGAGAGGCAUGUCUAAGGGCUCUGCCCAUCUCAGGUCACGGGUGAUGUGUCAGAAGUGGGGAGCUCUGUCUAUCAGGAAGAGAGGCUAACAGCCUGCCUACAACUGACAGGAAAAGGAAACUAGAAGCCAAGGUGUUGAGGGGCCUGGGUGAGACACAGGGUGUACAGAGUCUUCAUAAGAAGUUCAAGAACAGGAGCUCCCAUCAUGGCUCCAUGGAAAUGAAUCCAACUACGAACCAUGAGGAUGUGGGUUCAAUCCCUGGCUUCGCUCCAUGGGUUCAGGAUUCAGUGCUGUCGUGAGCUGUAGGGUAGGUCACAGACGCGGCUCGGAUCUGGCGUUGCUGUGGCUGUGGUGUAGGCCGGCGGCAAAGUGCCCUAGCCUGGGAACCUCCAUAUGCCAUGGGUUCAGCCCUCCAAAAAAAGACCAAAGACAAAAAAAAAAAGAAGAAGAAGACAUUCAAGAAUAGUCACUAAGUGAUGUGAGGACAAGCUGGGAUGAUGGAGCAGGAGGUGGGGAGCAAGGUAGGAUGGCGUACUGAUGGGGAGGGGACGAGGAGGCCUUCUGGAGCGAUGGAAAUGCUACAUAUCUUCAUCUGGAUGGUACUUACACAGGCGCAUACAGACGGAAAAUUACAUCAGCUACCCAGUACAUUUAAAGACCUGUGGACUUCACUAUACAUAAAUUUUAUCUCAACAAUAAAAGAAAAAAAGAGCAAUGGAAGAGGGGAAAGACCUCUCACAGAUGCCCAUAAAUCAAGAAGCGGGCCCUGACACCGGUUCUCUGGGAGAGCUUAAAAAGAGGCAGAAAGGCCAAUGAGGUGUGAGACCCUUACUCCCAAAUGAGCCAUAGAACUGAUUUCAAAGUUACCCCGCAGGUGGCCAAGUUCAAGUGCAAAUACACCACUGAAUAUAUGCCCAUGGAAGAAGCCUUGAAGGCAGGAAGUAAGAACGACUUUAAAGCACCAUAGCCUUCUUCAUAGCCCUUUAGCUUCAGCUGUCCCAGUUCAUCCUCACAGCCACCCUGGGAAUGGCUGUUAAGUCUCCUACAUAGAGUGGAAUAAACAGAGGCCCAGAGAAGUUCAAGGACUUGCCAAGGUCACAUUGGCCGCGCUAGGA
Molecule: long non-coding RNA, 4967 nt
Filed under: Sus scrofa (pig)
Lineage: Eukaryota; Metazoa; Chordata; Mammalia; Artiodactyla; Suidae
Description: lncRNA (ENSSSCG00050072794.1)
Source: RNAcentral